UACGUAGGGCGCAAGCGUUGUCCGGAUUUAUUGGGCGUAAAGAGCGUGUAGGCGGCUUGGUAGGUCCGCUGUGAAAACUCGAGGCUCAACCUCGAGAUGUCGGCGGAAACCACUUGGCUAGAGUCCGGAAGAGGAGAGUGGAAUUCCCGGUGUAGCGGUGAAAUGCGCAGAUAUCGGGAAGAACACCUAUGGCGAAGGCAGCUCUCUGGGACGGUACUGACGCUGAGACGCGAAAGCGUGGGGAGCGAACAGG
RNAcentral lists this ribosomal RNA (253 nucleotides) under uncultured bacterium. RNAcentral's name for it is "partial 16S ribosomal RNA". It matches the Rfam family "Bacterial small subunit ribosomal RNA", at positions 524 to 776 of the family's 1533-position model. The record is from RNAcentral.